This 816-nucleotide ribosomal RNA is filed under the name uncultured bacterium. RNAcentral describes it as "bacterial SSU rRNA". It matches the Rfam family "Bacterial small subunit ribosomal RNA", at positions 8 to 808 of the family's 1533-position model. The record is from RNAcentral.
AGAGUUUGAUCCUGGCUCAGGAUGAACGCUGGCGGCAUGCCUAAUACAUGCAAGUCGAACGAGAGGAAGGAAAGCUUGCUUUUCUGAAUCUAGUGGCGAACGGGUGAGUAACACGUAGGUAACCUGCCCAUGUGCCCGGGAUAACUUCUGGAAACGGAUGCUAAAACCGGAUAGGUAGCAGACAAGCAUUUGACUGCUAUUAAAGUGGCUAAGGCCAUGAACAUGGAUGGACCUGCGGUGCAUUAGCUAGUUGGUGAGGUAACGGCCCACCAAGGCGACGAUGCAUAGCCGGCCUGAGAGGGCGGACGGCCACAUUGGGACUGAGACACGGCCCAAACUCCUACGGGAGGCAGCAGUAGGGAAUUUUCGUCAAUGGGGGGAACCCUGAACGAGCAAUGCCGCGUGAGUGAAGAAGGUCUUCGGAUCGUAAAGCUCUGUUGUAAGAGAAAAACGACAUUCAUAGGGAAUGAUGAGUGAGUGAUGGUAUCUUACCAGAAAGUCACGGCUAACUACGUGCCAGCAGCCGCGGUAAUACGUAGGUGGCGAGCGUUAUCCGGAAUGAUUGGGCGUAAAGGGUGCGUAGGUGGCAGAACAAGUCUGGAGUAAAAGGUAUGGGCUCAACCCGUACUGGCUCUGGAAACUGUUCAGCUAGAGAACAGAAGAGGACGGCGGAACUCCAUGUGUAGCGGUAAAAUGCGUAGAUAUAUGGAAGAACACCGGUGGCGAAGGCGGCCGUCUGGUCUGUUGCUGACACUGAAGCACGAAAGCGUGGGGAGCAAAUAGGAUUAGAUACCCUAGUAGUCCACGCCGUAAACG